Molecule: long non-coding RNA, 211 nt
Filed under: Lathyrus oleraceus (garden pea)
Lineage: Eukaryota; Viridiplantae; Streptophyta; Magnoliopsida; Fabales; Fabaceae
Description: Pisum sativum (pea) long non-coding RNA (PSAT_LNC034322)
Source: RNAcentral
UUUGUUUCAAUAACCGUGAAUCAAGCCAUGUUACAUCCUUCAAAAACCUAAUUGAAGUAAGGUUUAUUCUGAAAGCAUACUACAUCAAGGUUGUGUAAACUGACUCCUAGAGAUUUGCUAAUAUUCUAUUCUCACUGUAUAACUCACACAUUAGCUAAAAUCAACACUGCGUUUGGACUCAUGGUCCACUCGUCACACACUACCACAACAC